UACAGAGGUGGCAAGCGUUGUUCGGAAUUACUGGGCGUAAAGGGCGCGUAGGCGGCCUUGUAAGUCCUGUGUGAAAUCCCUCGGCUCAACUGAGGAACUGCACGGGAAACUACCUGGCUUGAGUUCGGGAGAGGGAAGCGGAAUUCCGGGUGUAGCGGUGAAAUGCGUAGAUAUCCGGAGGAACACCGGUGGCGAAGGCGGCUUCCUGGACCGACACUGACGCUGAGGCGCGAAAGCUAGGGGAGCAAACGGG
Molecule: ribosomal RNA, 253 nt
Filed under: uncultured bacterium
Lineage: Bacteria
Description: partial 16S ribosomal RNA
Rfam family: Bacterial small subunit ribosomal RNA
Source: RNAcentral